Molecule: ribosomal RNA, 320 nt
Filed under: Salmonella enterica subsp. enterica serovar Minnesota
Lineage: Bacteria; Pseudomonadati; Pseudomonadota; Gammaproteobacteria; Enterobacterales; Enterobacteriaceae
Description: partial 23S ribosomal RNA
Rfam family: Bacterial large subunit ribosomal RNA
Source: RNAcentral
CUGGAGGUAUCAGAAGUGCGAAUGCUGACAUAAGUAACGAUAAAGCGGGUGAAAAGCCCGCUCGCCGGAAGACCAAGGGUUCCUGUCCAACGUUAAUCGGGGCAGGGUGAGUCGACCCCUAAGGCGAGGCCGAAAGGCGUAGUCGAUGGGAAACGGGUUAAUAUUCCCGUACUUGGUGUUACUGCGAAGGGGGGACGGAGAAGGCUAUGUUGGCCGGGCGACGGUUGUCCCGGUUUAAGCGUGUAGGUGUGUGUUCCAGGUAAAUCCGGUUCACUUUAACACUGAGGCGUGACGACGAGGCACUACGGUGCUGAAGCAAC